CGGGAAGCCUGCUUCGAGAUGAGUAUUCCCACCUCCUUGAGAGGGUAAGGCUCCCAGUAGACGACUGGGUUGAUAGGCCGGAUAUGGAAGCACGGUAACGUGUGGAGUUGACCGGUACUAAUAGGCCGAGGGCUUGUCCUCAGUUG
RNAcentral lists this ribosomal RNA (146 nucleotides) under Streptomyces sp. SID5643. RNAcentral's name for it is "partial 23S ribosomal RNA". It matches the Rfam family "Bacterial large subunit ribosomal RNA", at positions 2786 to 2925 of the family's 2925-position model. Lineage: Bacteria; Bacillati; Actinomycetota; Actinomycetes; Kitasatosporales; Streptomycetaceae. The record is from RNAcentral.